AUUAAGGAACUCGGCAAAUAUUUUAAUCUGUUGGACUGUUUACCAAAAACAUAACUUAUAGGAAUACUUUUAUUUAUUAUAAGCUAAACCUGCUCCAUGAGGGUUUAUUCUCUUAAAUAGCCGCAGUACUUUGACUGUGCUAAGGUAGCAUAAUAAUUUGGCCUUUAAUUGAGGUCUAGAAUGAAAGGAUUUACUUAACAGAAACUGUCUCAAUAUUUGAACUUUUAGGAAAUUACUAAAUAGGUGAAAAUUCCUAUUUAAUUAAGAAAGACGAGAAGACCCUUAGAUUUUUUAUUAUUUUGAAAAUUAUAUUUCAAUUCAUUUUUGUUGGGGCGACAUAGUAUCAAAAUUAACAUACUUUUAAUAAUAUAAAUUCAAAUUUAUCUAAUAUUUUAAUUCAAAUUAAAAUACCUGAGGGAUAACAGCAUUAUUAAUUAUUUACAUUGUGACCUCGAUGUUGGACUAGGAAAACUUGAAUUUAGAUAAUGCAAGUAAUAAUUCUGUUCGAAUUUAAUUCUCCUACAUGAUCUGAGUUCAGACCGGCGCAAGCCAGGUCAGAUUCUAUCUUCUAUAAAAAAUCUACCAGUACGAAAGGAUAAUAGAUU
Molecule: ribosomal RNA, 605 nt
Filed under: Naesiotus nux
Lineage: Eukaryota; Metazoa; Mollusca; Gastropoda; Stylommatophora; Orthalicidae
Description: 16S ribosomal RNA
Rfam family: Bacterial large subunit ribosomal RNA
Source: RNAcentral